CAGUCGCCACGGGAACACGGAGGGUGCAAGCGUUAAUCGGAAUUACUGGGCGUAAAGCGCACGCAGGCGGUCUGACAAGUCAGAUGUGAAAUCCCCGGGCUUAACCUGGGAACUGCAUUUGAAACUGUCAGGCUGGAGUCUUGUAGAGGGGGGUGGAAUUCCAGGUGUAGCGGUGAAAUGCGUAGAGAUCUGGAGGAAUACCGGUGGCGAAGGCGGCCCCCUGGACAAAGACUGACGCUCAGGUGCGAAAGCGUGGGGAGCAAACAGGAUUAGAUACCCCUGUAGUCCCUGUCUCUUAUAA
Molecule: ribosomal RNA, 301 nt
Filed under: uncultured bacterium
Lineage: Bacteria
Description: partial 16S ribosomal RNA
Rfam family: Bacterial small subunit ribosomal RNA
Source: RNAcentral